GCUCUGGUGGUGGAAUUGGUAGACACGCUGUCUUGAGGGGGCAGUGGCGCGAGCCGUGCGAGUUCGAGUCUCGCCCAGAGCACCA
Molecule: transfer RNA, 85 nt
Filed under: Gammaproteobacteria bacterium
Lineage: Bacteria; Pseudomonadati; Pseudomonadota; Gammaproteobacteria
Also listed under: 7 other names
Description: tRNA-Leu
Rfam family: tRNA
About the family: Transfer RNA (tRNA) molecules are approximately 80 nucleotides in length.
Source: RNAcentral